GGUCUCGUGGCCCAGCUGGUAGAGCAUGCGCGUACAAAUCGUGGGCGGCGUUCAUACGUGGGUUCGAAUCCCACCGGGGCUA
RNAcentral lists this transfer RNA (82 nucleotides) under Echinostoma caproni. It matches the Rfam family "tRNA". Rfam says of the family: Transfer RNA (tRNA) molecules are approximately 80 nucleotides in length. Their secondary structure includes four short double-helical elements and three loops (D, anti-codon, and T loops). Lineage: Eukaryota; Metazoa; Platyhelminthes; Trematoda; Plagiorchiida; Echinostomatidae. The record is from Rfam by way of RNAcentral.